This 301-nucleotide ribosomal RNA is filed under the name uncultured bacterium. RNAcentral's name for it is "partial 16S ribosomal RNA". It matches the Rfam family "Bacterial small subunit ribosomal RNA", at positions 509 to 807 of the family's 1533-position model. The record is from RNAcentral.
CAGUAGCCGCGGUAAUACGUAGGGUGCGAGCGUUAAUCGGAAUUACUGGGCGUAAAGCGUGCGCAGGCGGUUUGUUAAGACAGAUGUGAAAUCCCCGGGCUUAACCUGGGAACUGCAUUUGUGACUGGCCGGCUAGAGUAUGGCAGAGGGAGGUGGAAUUCCACGUGUAGCAGUGAAAUGCGUAGAUAUGUGGAGGAACACCGAUGGCGAAGGCAGCCUCCUGGGCCAAUACUGACGCUCAUGCACGAAAGCGUGGGGAGCAAACAGGAUUAGAUACCCGAGUAGUCCCUGUCUCUUAUAC